UAAAACGCUUCAGGAUGUGCUGUUACGGGAAAGUAAUCCAUUUCCUUGUGGUAAAAGUGACUCCGGGUUCAUCGCACGACCUGGUUGUUGAUUAUUCUCCUAUAACAGCAUAACACGGAGUGUUUUAUCACCUCAUUACUGAACAUUCUUCCUCCACAUGGCACAGUUAUUGUCUUAAUGCAAUACAGUCGCUCUAAAUAUUCAUUCGUUGUACUUAGUGUCACUUUAAUGUGAUGUAUUACUUGUAGAAUUUUUUUCUUUUUUUUACAACACACUAACUUCUCUUCAUUUAUGCUGAUGUUAUUCCUAUGUCGGUGAGUCACAUGCCUCCGGUAGGUUGGAUUUGUUUCCACAGGCCUGAAUUCUUUGGCAUGUAAAAUUCACGUAAUGUCAGAUUAGCAUUUACCCUGAAGGAAAAGGUGGAAAGGGGGUUGCUGAACCUUUGUUGGAUAUUCGAGAGGGGGAUGGGAAAAAAAGAAGAAAAAAAAGUUGCUGUUUCGAGUGUUGUUUUUAAACCAAUGUCGUUCUGCAGCUUUUCUUCAGCGUGUGAAUCUAGUGGAGAUUGAAUGGCGCAGUGCUGGGAGACCUCUGGUGUCAACAGGUGUAACUUCAGGACUCUCGGGUGGACGAUGUUGAACAUUGGAAAGUAAAAGAGGGCAGUGUUUGAGUUGUUUGCUGUACAAACACAUGGUACAACAGAUGGGGGAAAAAAGCCAGCUGGUUCCCUGAGAACAGCACGCGAAUAAGGGAAAAGAGCCUGUGGUAAACGUUUGAUGUAUUAUUUUCACAGCGGCACUUGCUUCAGCAUGUCUUAACCUUCUCCAAAUCACACGCAGGCUUUUUCAUUCAUCUUACCUUCACCGCACAGGAACACACAAUUGUGCGAAGAGUCAAAGGUUUUUCCUUUCAUCCUUGUUGGGACUGAAAGGUACUCAGACUGCGACGAUCGAGUACACAAAGAACCAAAUUGGUAGUCAUUCAAAAAUUAGAAAGAAAGAAAAAAGGAAACGUGGAUAACGUAUUUUGAUGAGUAACGAGCCUCUGUUUCUUUUGGUGUCUGAAUAUUACGUUCUGCACAUACAGUUCUGUGCAAAAAAGUUUGUGCCCCACCUCACUUAAGUUUUUUUUUGUUUUGUAGAUUAAAAUUAUCCAUCCAUCCAUCUUCUACCUGGAGGCUAUCCCAGGGAGCAUCGGGCCCAAGGCAGGGUACACCCUGGACAGGUUGCCAAUCCAUUGCAGGGCACAAUCACAUAGACACGCCAAUCAGCCUACCAUCCAUGUCUUUGGACUGGGGGAGGAAACCUCCGCAGCACGGGGAGAACAUGCAAACUCCGCACACACAUGGCCCUGGCGGGACUCGAACCCUGGAUCCUGGAGGUGUGAAGCGAACUUGCUAAUCACUAAGCCAGAUUAAAAUGAUAUUAUUAAAAAUGAUAAUUAAGACAUCAAAAA
Ictalurus punctatus (channel catfish) is the source of this 1452-nucleotide long non-coding RNA. RefSeq lists it as uncharacterized. The transcript has 2 exons. The record is from RefSeq and is a predicted model, not a curated record. NCBI's taxonomy places the organism in Eukaryota, Metazoa, Chordata, Actinopteri, Siluriformes, Ictaluridae.